GGGAAGUGAUUAGGAAGUGAUAGAGGAAGGCAUCAAAUAUUAAUCAAGAAGUGAAGAAGAAUCACAUAAAAUCCAAAAAUGCAUUAUUUUCAUAUGGAAACAAGAAUUCUUAGCAGAAACUGAUCUGGCCAAUAUCAAAUAGUACACAAUGAAAGCUGCUUUCUUUUUCCCUCUAUCACUCCAUGCAUGUACUUGUGGACCUAUAGAAGAAAGAAUGAUCUGUUGCUCUUGCCAAUUCACUUGUCAAAUGACAUAACAGCUUUUGUCACUAAAUGCCCCCACUUGAUCUGCCUUUAGAUUCUUCUUCAAUUCCAUCACUGAUAAAGGAACAUAUCAUGCACCCAGUUCUUUAAUUUCCAACAGUUCUACCUCCGCAACUACCAUGGGUACUCCAAGAAACUGGAUAUAUGUGUGGUAGAUUUAUCUUAAUUAUGCCC
This 437-nucleotide unclassified non-coding RNA is filed under the name Hevea brasiliensis (rubber tree). Lineage: Eukaryota; Viridiplantae; Streptophyta; Magnoliopsida; Malpighiales; Euphorbiaceae. The record is from RNAcentral.